This is a long non-coding RNA of Panicum hallii, 1552 nucleotides long. RefSeq lists it as uncharacterized. The transcript is spliced from 3 exons. Lineage: Eukaryota; Viridiplantae; Streptophyta; Magnoliopsida; Poales; Poaceae. The record is from RefSeq and is a predicted model, not a curated record.
GGAGCUGAUCUGGAAGAGGCAAUCCGUCAAACACCUAGCGUGCGGCGUCGUUUCUCCCGCGCGCACGGACGAGUGGGCGUACCUACCUGGAAGUUCCGCCGUGGCUUCUCCGCCCGCAGGCGGCGAUUGGCCUUCAUAAUCAUGAUGUCCAUUCGCAGCGGUGGGUACUGGUACGGAGUUGCAUGGCGUGCGGCGGCGGAAACCCAGAGGUACAGGGAUGCGGAAACGGAGGACGAGCGGGAGUCCACUCGCGAGGGCAGCCGACGCCGGGCAGGAACGGGCCGCCGCGAGCAACCGCGAGAGGGCGGGGAGCCGGGGAAGAUGGCCGGGGCAAAACUGGGAGCUCUUUUUUAAAUAUUUGGAUCGGAUAUUUACACAUACCCCCUAAAUCGGAUCGCGAUUAAUGUGUGUAAAUAUAUGGAUCGCGAUUAAUAAUUGCGAUCCAUUUGAGGGGUUCUUCUGCAAAACUGUUAUUGACUGCAGUCCAUGCUGAUGUGGGAUACUAUUAGCCGUUGGAUCUAGCGUGUGCGGUUCAGACCGAGGUCAACUAGCUUUAACGACCAAUAGCGUCACGAGCUCCGUCGCAGAUUCGCAGGUCGGCGGCCGCCGGUGAACUCACCCGCCGGCCGCUGCAGCUCGCCGGCAUGCAGUAUCCGCCGCCCCUCAUUGAUAUCCUCUAGCGCAGUGAAACGCUCCAACCUCAGCCUCGCCUCGCCGCCUCCGGGCUGGUACCGGCAGUGUCGCCGCCACGCGCCUCGGAGGAGGUCCGAGAAGAGGCUGAAUCCUCCGGCAGCGGGGAGGCCGAUGGCCUGCCCCGAAUCUCACCGCUGAAUCUCCGCGCCAGCAACAGCUUGUUACUCCGUCGACCAUGAGCCGCAGUUUACCCUACACCCCCAGGCCCCCCCUCCACGACCACGAAGGCGAAGGCACGCGUCGCGGCUAGCUUACCCCCCUCCAUGUCUAGUGAUCUGAACUGCUGUCUCUCCCUUACCUCCGUCCACCACCGCAUUUGGUGAUUUGGUGAGGCGAUCUACGGGAUCUCAUCGGUGGAGGUGCGGGAGCUCCAGCUGGAGGCUGCCUUGCAAGAUAAUGAAGGACAUGUUUGUUCAUUUCAAGUUAGAGAAUGCUGCGUCCAUGGAGAACAUCACGGUAUGACACACUGCGUAGAUAACCAUUCUGGCAAGCUGCUGUCCAUAUUGUAUCUCCAGAUGUAUCUUUGCAUGUGUUAUUUGCUAUUUCGAAAGAAUAAAAUGGAAGGUGAGCUUUCAUUGCUUUCCAAGGUUGUUUCAUACAGCUCAUUAAGGAAGAUUUGUGCGCGGAUAUGCAGUUGGUUCUCCCGUUAAAGAACAAUUUACCGACACAAGGGACUCAACAAGAUUUGAGCUACACUAAUGGUUAUUGUGUUUGAGGUUGCUCUUUUUGAAAUUUUAGAGGGUAACUUGAUGGUUAAUCAGCUCAAUUGCCACAAAGCAUAUGAAGCAAACCUGCAUGAAUAUGAAGGAUAAAUGCAUUGACAUCUGAGAAAUUUAACAUUAUAUACAGUUGGCUUGGA